Long non-coding RNA from Anguilla anguilla (European eel), 582 nucleotides. RefSeq lists it as uncharacterized. The transcript has 4 exons. NCBI's taxonomy places the organism in Eukaryota, Metazoa, Chordata, Actinopteri, Anguilliformes, Anguillidae. The record is from RefSeq and is a predicted model, not a curated record.
GCAAGCCAGCGUUCUGAGAAAAUGAAGGACUCAUGUUCAGUCUGUCAGCCCCACUGGCUCAGGAGGGACCGCGAAAACGGAAAGCCUCGACAAGAGCAAACCCGGUCAGAAGCGCGAUGCUGGCCAAUGGAUUUUGGCUUGGUACUCCCCACCAACGCAAGAAACCCAAUGGACUGUAAAUUCCUCGCACAGGACCAGUGAAGCCAAACAAGUUGGGAACAUUCUCAGGACCAUAUCUGCUUUAGGCCGAACCGCUCGCUCUGGCCGUCGGGUCCUGUGCAGUGAUGCAUCCUGGGAGCCUGUGGAUGAAGCCCGUCCCUGACAGACAGUGUUUUCUGAGGCUGAUGCUAUGCGGGCAUUUCCUGCUUCAGUUCAGCAGUUCCUGUUGAUCACACGCACAAUGGUAUCAUCAGAAGACAGGCAGUUUCAGCAUGACUGGGCCUUCCAAACAGGGAAGAAAACAGUGUACAGGUGAAAACUCUGGUUCUGAAUUUUCCCUUUAGCAGAGCUAAGGAAAAUAACAACGGAAAUUCCCUUAAUAUAAUAAACUCAUAAAAUAAAAUAAUACCCACAUUGGCCAAU